UUUUGAAAGGGAAACGAUUGAAGCCAGUCGUACCUAUGGGUAAUCAGCCUUUUGGGUGUGAUUCUGUGGGAGUGUGAAGAGUUAAACGCCUUCAUGCCUGCAUAUUCGUGCACUUUGGGUGUACUUGCCCGUGUGGUAGGUUAACAUCAAUUUUGGUUGUCAUAAAAUGGCUGGAGGAAUGUAGCUUCGAUCUCGUAUUGAAGUGUUAUAGACUUCGGUAGAUGUGACGAUCAAGAUUGAGGAUUGCAACGAAUACCCUUCGGGGCUACCUGUCUGAUCUCUGAUUGUUGCUUUGGUGCCGAAAGCGUGCUUACGGUUAUCAAAGUCGGUGGUCAAUAGGUUAAAGGGUUAAAUUCGUU
This 359-nucleotide ribosomal RNA is filed under the name uncultured Glomeromycotina. RNAcentral's name for it is "LSU rRNA". Lineage: Eukaryota; Fungi; Glomeromycota. The record is from RNAcentral.